GCGGGGAUGCCGGAGUGGCCAAAUUCCCCUAAAAAGGAAGGCUUUACGGGUUAGCCUCAAGAGCUAAUGGCUAAGUGCCUACGCAGGUUCGAAACCUGCUCCCCGCA
Molecule: transfer RNA, 107 nt
Filed under: Candidatus Woesearchaeota archaeon
Lineage: Archaea; Nanobdellati; Candidatus Woesearchaeota
Description: tRNA-Leu
Rfam family: tRNA
About the family: Transfer RNA (tRNA) molecules are approximately 80 nucleotides in length.
Source: RNAcentral